Molecule: ribosomal RNA, 253 nt
Filed under: uncultured bacterium
Lineage: Bacteria
Description: partial 16S ribosomal RNA
Rfam family: Bacterial small subunit ribosomal RNA
Source: RNAcentral
UACGGAGGGUGCAAGCGUUAUCCGGAAUCACUGGGUGUAAAGGGUGCGUAGGCGGCCUGUUAAGUCAGAAGUGAAAGGCCACAGCUUAACUGUGGGAUUGCUUUUGAUACUGGCGGGCUUGGAUUAGGACGAGGUUGGCGGAAUGUGGCAAGUAGCGGUGAAAUGCAUAGAUAUGCCAUAGAAUACCGAUUGCGAAGGCAGCUGACUAGACCUAUAUUGACGCUGAGGCACGAAAGCGUGGGGAGCGAACAGG